UACCGAUCUACCAAACUAGUGGAUAUGCAUUUAUGCUAAGCAUGUCCUUCUGGGGCCCUGCUGUAAUCAGACCAGUUUUGCUUUUAUUUAUUUGUUUAUGUGGGCAUGCAAGAUUUCAUUUCAACAGAUAUUUUUCAUGGCUAGCAAGAGUUAGAAAAUUACAGAGACUCCCAAGCAUCUGGGAUUAGUCCUUUCCAAUCCCAUAGAUUUAUAAUUGAGAAGUCAGGAAAUCACCACUAGAAAUUCAUUAUAGCCACCUGACUAUUUUCAGAAGGAAGCAAAUUAUUGCUGAAGUUAUGUAUCCUUGAUUUUGAGAAUUUAACUUUGCUAUGUGAUCUACAUAUAACUUUAUGGUAAGCAAUGCAGUUAACAUCCAUGUUUCCAGGAGACCCUUUAACGUGUACUUUUGUGAACAUAAACAAUAUCUGCAGUGUGAAAAUGGGAAGGUAGAACAAAACAAUUUCCUUUAUAAAUGUACUUGGCUUCCUCCCCCAAAUCUGCAACUCCAGUCUAAUCAUAAGAAAAUAUCAGACAAACACAAACUGAGGAACAUUUUGCAAAGUACCUAACCAGAACUCCUCAAAACUAGUAAGGUCAUCAAAAACGAGGAAAGUGUGAGGAACUGUCACAGCCAAGUGGAGCCUAAGGAAACAGGACAAGUAAUCGUAAGAUGGUAUCUUGGGUGGGACCCUUGGACAGUAAAACAACAACAGGUACAAACUAAGGAAUUCUCAAUAAAUUAUAGAUUUCAGUUAAUAAAAAUGUAUCAAUAUUGAUUCAUUAAUUGUGACAAAUGUCACAAUAUACUACAGAAGAUACUAAUAGGGUAAAUUGUGUGGGAUGGUAUCUUUACUAUCUUUGUAAUUGUUCCAUAAAUCCAAAACUAUUCUAGAAUAUAAAAUUUUUUAAAUGUGAAAAGUGUGCUUGGUGAAAAACAUGUAUUUUCAAAAUUUUGAGUAAUCUGGAGGCUGUAGAAGCUAUGUACAGUUUUCAUAAAGGAGGAGAAAUAUUUAUGCUUAAAAGAGAUUAACUGUAAAUUACAUUUUGUUUCUGAAUCCUUUGCUGAUGCUUCAUUUCACCUGUGUUAACAUAGGAGCAAAGGAGAUAUUACAAGUUUAAAUUUGUAAAUUAAUUAACGGAUUGAGUAAAUUACCUGCAUUUUAUUAAAACACAUUUUGCCAUUGAGGAGCACCAACUUAAAAAAGUAUUCCUCAAAAUUGACAUUUCUUUACAGAAAAGUAGUGGAACAAGAAAUCUAAAUAUAACAAUCCAAAGUUUUAGUGGUGCAAAGAAGAAGCUGUUAUAUACAAAUAAAGUAUUUUUUUCUAAUAUGUGCCUUCUGAAGUUGGUAUGAGGGUAAUAAUACCAUUAUCUUUACCUAAAGUAUAAACAGUAAAUUAUUUUCUGAUCACACAUUUAUGGAAUGCUCACACAAUUGUACAGCACGGCUCACACAUCCUUUAAAAUGGCUAUCUGGCACCAGAGAUGGAUGGGGGUGGGGAUCUAAAUAUUCAUAAAAUGCCUCUAGAGAAGCAACCAUUUUUUUCUUGGACCUGAGAGAUGGAGUUUAUCUAUUCAGUACCCAUAGUGGGAAGGUCACAUUGUAAAUUUGCUGUAGAUCUGAAACUAAAUUUACAUCGCUGAACAGACUCAAACCUAGAAGAAGAUAUCACAUCUCUUUUGGAUCAUCCUCUAGCCUUCAUAUAAGUUACGUCUAAAACAUCAAGGUUAAAGAAACUUAUUCUCUAAGGAUUUCUAUGAUUGACAACUCACUCUUUCUUGGAGGAUUUAUCAACCUCAAAGCAUUGCUUCCUUACAUCUAACCAACAUCUCUUUCAAGUCAAGCCUGCUUCACCCCUUAUAGUUCUUUACUGACAGGGAGCAACGUGAUUACCACUCCUCCAUCUCAAAAAAAAAAAAGAAAGAAAAACUUAUUUUAGGCCUUAGCGUGUAGCAACAGUUGUUAAUGUUCAAUUGCUAAUUAUAGCAUAGAUUAGACCACGCAAAGGUAGCACAGAACAGUGUAACAUGAGUAACCUGUAUGACAGCAGAGACAUCAUUACUAUUAUGGUGGCAUUAUUAACAGAGUUCUUCCUGUAUUAGAAGAUCAUGCAUUUCCCCACCUUAGGGACUUAACUCAUCAAUUUGGUGAAAGUUCUAAAUCGUGACCUGACUAGCCUAGACUGAAGCAGCAGAGUUACUAAUCUCUCCUCAUAAUAAGUGCAGAAUCUCGAACCACUCAUGUCACCUCUGCAUUGUCAAUAAGCAAAAUAAUAGUGAGCAAUGGCAGAUGGAGCUAAAAAGACAUCUAAGAUCUUGGUCUCCUUGAAAGAGAAAAAAAAGCCCAUUCACAGAUAGAGUGGUAUGUGUGUGUUUGAGGUUGAAGUACUGAGAAAGGAGGAGCAAGGAGAAUGAAUGACAGAUGUGAAUAUUUUGAAAAAGUAAACUGGAUUAUUUUUUAAAAAUACAAUAAGAAGUAACUACAAACUGUUAUGAUGGAAAGUAAAAAACUAUCCAUUCAUCAAGAGUCAAACACACUUAUUUUCUUUCAACCUCAAGAAAACACAGUACUUCUUUUUGUCUGCUCAGGCCCUUCUUAAUCAUCUUUAGCUACUCUCCUUAAUGCAACUGUGUGCAUCUACAUGGGUAAGACUUUCCUAUUUUAAAUAAAAAGGAAACAUCUGGAUUGAUGGAAAUGACGAGCAUGCUUUAGAAAGGUGCUGUUGAACAGCAGAUAAUAAAGUACUCAUAGCCAAAAAAAUAUUAACAUUGUUUCAAGGUCAUGUUUUAUAUAAAAGAUAAUGCUUUCCUUUUGGAAUUUUAGAUGUUCCCAACCAUUCACACUGUUUGAAGUGCUGAGAACCAUCGACCCAACUCAGCUCGUAAUCUCCUUCGACUUUGAUGUUUCGCCAUGACCAGGCUCCAGGAGUUGCUCAAACAAAAAGAUGACAUAUCCUAAUGACCUGUGUGUUUUUCUUAAUGAUAGACUCAUAAAAAGAUGCUGAAGGUAGAGUAAAAAUAUAUGUGCUUACCUUUCUAUAUUCCUUCUCAUGUGUACUUGUGCAUAAGAACAUAAUUAUGUCUGGUUUUGUGCCUCCGGCAGACGCUAUUGUUUACUCACCCAGCAGGUACAUCUCAUCUCCUCCCUAUUUGUUGAACUGCUCCAAUUUUUUUCAGGUAUGUUCUCUCUCAUAAGCUUACAGGAAGUUACCCAGCCCCGAAGAGUGAAUGCAGAUUAUUCUUUCUAAGCAAUCAUGGUCACUCCAGUCCCUUUCAUGGUAAUUAGUUUAGGGGUAGGCAUGAGAUGUAAGCAAGACCAAUGAAGCAUAAGAGAAUUUACGGAUUUGUGGGGAAGCUUUUCCUUCCUAAAUACAAAUUGUAAAAUAUAGCUUGCUCCUGCCUGGAUGGCAUCCAGCGGUACGUCAGAACCAACUUAGAUACUGACUCGUGAUGGUGCACAUCUCUUCCCAGCUCCACGUUCAGAGACAUCAUGUUGGACCUGGGAAUCGUUUGACCCUGGUGGGAAAAUUUACAACAUGAAAAUCAGCAAAUGCUGCAAAUUAAAACGCUUUUUAUUUUUAUUUUCCAGAUAAAAGGUGAUUAAACAUUUACCAGACCAUCACUGAGUGGUCUCUGGAAGUGUGAUGUUUGGCUCUAGUGACACCAUCUCGUUACCAGGAAUACAGACAUUAGUGGCACACUGAGAGUGCAGAUGGUGGAGGUGGGAGUGUGAUGGUGAUGAGAAAUCCUGAGUUCUUUAUAGCAUUCUUCAGCUGCUUAACCAGCCCUGGAAGCACUUCACCUUCAGAUCCUUUCUUAUGUUAACUAAUAGAUCUACAUUGUUUAAAUAUCUACUGCUCAAUAUCUUGUUACUUGACUUGAAGCUGAAAGUAGCAUGUACAGUCUGUGAAAACAGACAUAGAAUGGACUCAAUUUCUCCACUAAAGAAACUCUGAAAUUAUGUUUCAUUUUAUUAAAAGAGGGACUACCAGGACACAAUCGCAUCCAAUUCAGAC
RNAcentral lists this long non-coding RNA (4016 nucleotides) under Homo sapiens (human). RNAcentral's name for it is "HSALNT0119440". The record is from RNAcentral. Lineage: Eukaryota; Metazoa; Chordata; Mammalia; Primates; Hominidae.